This is an unclassified non-coding RNA of Macaca fascicularis (crab-eating macaque), 148 nucleotides long. It matches the Rfam family "Metazoan signal recognition particle RNA". Rfam says of the family: The signal recognition particle (SRP) is a universally conserved ribonucleoprotein. It is involved in the co-translational targeting of proteins to membranes. NCBI's taxonomy places the organism in Eukaryota, Metazoa, Chordata, Mammalia, Primates, Cercopithecidae. The record is from Ensembl.
GCUGGGCGUGGUGGCACACGCCUGUAAUCCCAGCUACUUGGGAGGCUGAGGCAGGAGAAUCGCUUGAACCCGGGAGGCGGAGGUUGCAGUGAGCCGAGAUUAUGCCACUGCACUCUAGCCUGGGUGACAGAGCGAGACUCUGUCUCAA